RNAcentral lists this long non-coding RNA (3704 nucleotides) under Equus caballus (horse). Its description in RNAcentral is "lncRNA (ENSECAG00000056993.1)". The record is from RNAcentral. Lineage: Eukaryota; Metazoa; Chordata; Mammalia; Perissodactyla; Equidae.
CUGAAAUCUCUUCAGAGCCAUAAAGAUGAAAUGAGUGUCUUGUUAUUCAUAACAAGCCCUUUACCAUCACAGCGGGGUUUAUGUUAAUGAGGAGACUUCUGGAAAGCACCUAAAGGAGGGGGGGGCUGGUUGCCAGGGGAACCAAGGAUAAAUAGAAGGUUGGAACUUUCAGUCCUACCCCUUGAUUUCUGGGGAGGGGAGAUCUGGACAUUGAAUCAGUCACCAAUGGCCAAUGAUUUAAUCAAUCAUGCCUAUAUAAUGAAGCCUCCAUCAAACACAAAAGGACAAGAUUUGGAUUCCUUCCAGGCUUAAAAUCUUUGUGGUCACAAAAUACACACAUGACUUUAUUAUAGUGAGCCUCUUCUGGGAAUAAAACGUAUGCACAGGGCCCAUCUGCUGUACCAGAUGCCUACUGGUUGAUCGGACAACAAACGUGUGGGAGGCAAAAGGCAUCUCUUUCCAAGAAGGCCACCAGGAAACAGGCCAAUGCAACUGUGCCAGGACAACUCCUAACCUCUGUCCAUAGCCUCACAAUCACCUUGAGCUCCCUAAUUUAACCAGAAAGCUUCUGUAAGUGUGGACAGAUGAUUCGACUGCAUUUUACAGUUUGAAAUAAACAGCCCUUGAACAUUUUUGAUAAAAGUUAAUUUGCAUCCUGUCCUUUAAGCAAACAGUGUGUUUGCUAUGCCUUCCUUUAAACAUACUAAGACAUCAAUAGUUUCUGUAAAUACUUCAGUGGGCAACAUUUCUAAAUUAACCCUUUAUUUUCAAGUGCUUGAUGUGAGUGAUGUAUACAUUCUCCUAAAUGUAAGCAUAUUUCCUUUAGCUAUAAUUAUAAAAAGCUAUGGAUUGGGGAAUAAAAAUCUAAUGAUUUAACUUUCUAUUUCAGAUUGUCAAUCUCUCACCUGUAAGUAACAGGGUUGUGGACAAAAAUGCAGACAAUUAUAUUAAAUUUAGCUUUAUUUUCUCCAGAUUAUUAUAAACCAGUAUCAUUAUUGCAAAAUAUUUUGCUUUAAUAAACGAAUGUCUGUUCUCUAAUCCCAGAAAGUCUUAUUUAUAUGCCAAUUUUCCUCCUUUUAACUUACUUUGACUUUCUUCGCCCUUUCCCUUCUCUAUUUCAUGUCCUUUCCUGGCCCUUCCUCUUCCUUCUCCUCCUCCUCUAUGGCCUCCUCUUCCUCCUUCUUCUCUCUCUCUGUCUCAGGCAUCCACACAUACACACACACAUACACAAUCACACAUUCGCAAGCACACAAAGUCAUUAUACCUUGAGUAAAUACAGUAUAUGAGGGUACUAGGUUUAUAAGGUAAUAAAAUGAGUAAAAGGAAAUCUUGAACAUCCUAACAACCCAGUCCAUAGGGACUAGCAGUAUGAGUGAUACUAAGGACAUAGUAUCUGCCAUGUAUCAUAUUAGCUCGCUCGGUUUAUCCUACGUCUACUACACAGCUCCUGGUGUUUUUGUGGGUUGGAAGAGGGGAUGGGUAGGCAUUUUGUUUUAUAGAUAAAAACAAGAACACUGAAACUCAAAGAGGUUCAAAAGUAGACCCAAGCUCACACAGCUAUAAGUGGCCCAGGUUGACAUGGAAUCCAAAAUCUGUCAGAUUUGAAAGCCCGCACUCAUUCGCCUGACUUGACUGCUUUUGUCUCUCUGAAACAGUGGGUUUUCUUACAAGGCGAGUGGAGAAGCAGCUGGCUUUGCCUAAACCUGGCAUUGUUUAAGUGUACUUCUCACUGUGGACCCUGCCCAACCCUACCUAAUACGCAACAGGAUAUUAAAAUAGACUUACAAAAGCUGACGAGACGCAUUUUAUAAGAAAAUAAAAUAUUAGAAAAGCUUUUCUAUGUGUUAUUACAAACCAAGUUUAAACAAGAGCCCACUUCAGAUUAAAACCUUGAUUUCUCAUAAAAGGAAAUGUCAAGUCCUUGAAACUAAUAGUAAUAUAUUUAAUGUUUAGUCAAAUAUAAAUACUUCUAGUUCAUAGGGUAUUAUAUUGUAAUUUUAUUAGCAUAACAACUUUGAUCAGCUAGGUAUUAAAUGACUUUGCUGUUAAAAAUAUGUGAAUGAAGGGUAAAUACCUUAAUGAUGAAGCUUUAUUUCUUUUUUUUUUUUUGAGGAAGAUUAGCCCUCAGCUAACUACUGCCAGUCCUCCUCUUUCUGCUGAGGAAGCCUGGCCCUGAGCUAACAUCCGUGCCCAUCUUCCUCUAGUUUAUAUGUGGGAUGCCUACCACAGCAUGGCCAAGCAGCGCCAUGUUCACAGCCGGGAUCCGAACCAGCGUACCCCAGGCUGCCGAGAAGCGGAACGUGCGACCUUAACAGCUACGCCACCGGGGCAGCCCUGAAGCUUUAUUUCUGAAUGCGACAGAGGGAAGAAGAAAAAUUUCUGGAGUGGACAGAUGUAGGUUUGGACCUCAGAUCUGACACUAAUCAACUCCUUGAUCUCUGAGAAUAAACAAAACUUGUCUGAGGAAGUCGACUUAUCUUUAAAUACAGGGAGAAUUGUCGCAGUCUUAAUGGGUUUUGACGUAAACUAAGAUGAUAUUUGAACGUAUUUACCACUCUGCCAGCCACAGGCUUCUCGAGAGAGAGAUGUGUUUUUGUAUUCCCACACGGAAGAUGGAAAGUCAUUAAAAGAAAAUUGUCCUUACUUAUGCAUUCCUAUGCUCUCAAAUAUGUGAAUUCAGAAUAAGGCUCUGUUUCUAUCUUCGUUCUUUGCCCUUAACAGACACAUAUAAAACUGAGGGGAAAAUAGACAUAUUUUAGUUAUUUAUUAAAAGAAGUAUCCUUUAUUUAAUUCCCUGUGGAUUUUUACACCCUAGGGAAGUAUAUCUGGUACUACUUGGGGUAGGUAAGUGUAAUAAAAAUUUAACUCUUUUUGAUGUUUGACUGCUAACAGAUUUCAAGCCCCACCACUCACCCUUUCCCUCCAUGCAACAUUGGGACAAGUUGAUUCAAAGUCUGGGUAUUCCCUCUUUUGGUGUCAGUGGGAAGUUCAAAUCACAGAAGUCCUGGGUCCCAUGCAUGUGAAUCUCUAACCACAACACAAGCCAAGCUAGUCUCCUUUUCCUAGUCUCUCUAGUCAUUUUUGGAGCUGUUUGGGAGCCUGCCCCUCUCUCUGAGGAAAGCCUCAGGAUGUGAAUAAUUAACCUUUCUGUAUCCUCUUUGUGAGUGUGCAUUUAAACAUCUUUUGAGCUCCUCAUGUGCAAAGCACUUUGUUAUCAGCGUUAGUAACAUUUUACAAAAGACGUAGCAGUGGGAAGACUAUAUGGGACAGAUGUAGAUUAAUUUGACAGGUUGGGAGAAAUGGUAUUUUGGCAUCAAGAUACUUAAAUAUAUCCUUGAUGCUUGGGGGAGGUAAUUCACAACAUUGUACCUACAGCCGUUAAGAUUCCUGACAUAGUUAAGUCAUAUUGUUGCUAUUUCAAAAGCAGAAGAGUUUCAUCAGUGCAUUAUUCUCUAUUUGAACGAAAUACAAUAUCUAAAACUAUAUCUUGGAUUUCUACCAAUCACAAAGCGAAUAGUUCAAAUGGCUUACGUUAAGUAACUUCAAAACAACCAGGACUUCUCUCUGAAGAUUUCUUUCUUUGAUUCUUCAGACUACUACAGGUUAACUAUUUAUAAGAAAUGUGCAAAAAAUAAAAAAUGAUCUGAAGAACUUCAAUAGUGAUAAGUUUUGCCUCUUUUUUAAUAUCCUUAAUCAAAGUGAUU